Molecule: ribosomal RNA, 547 nt
Filed under: uncultured bacterium
Lineage: Bacteria
Description: bacterial SSU rRNA
Rfam family: Bacterial small subunit ribosomal RNA
Source: RNAcentral
AAAUAGAUACCCUGGUAGUCCACCCCGUAAACGUUGGGAACUAGUUGUGGGGUCCUUUCCACGGAUUCCGUGACGCAGCUAACGCAUUAAGUUCCCCGCCUGGGGAGUACGGCCGCAAGGCUAAAACUCAAAGGAAUUGACGGGGACCCGCACAAGCGGCGGAGCAUGCGGAUUAAUUCGAUGCAACGCGAAGAACCUUACCAAGGCUUGACAUACACCAGAACACCCUAGAAAUAGGGGACUCUUUGGACACUGGUGAACAGGUGGUGCAUGGUUGUCGUCAGCUCGUGUCGUGAGAUGUUGGGUUAAGUCCCGCAACGAGCGCAACCCUCGUUCUAUGUUGCCAGCACGUAAUGGUGGGAACUCAUGGGAUACUGCCGGGGUCAACUCGGAGGAAGGUGGGGAUGACGUCAAAUCGAUCAUGCCCCUUAUGUCUUGGGCUUCACGCAUGCUACAAUGGCCGGUACAAAGGGCUGCAAUACCGUGAGGUGGAGCGAAUCCCAAAAAGCCGGUCCCAGUUCGGAUUGAGGUCUGCAACUCGACCUCA